GAACUGUGAUUGCUGUGACAUACUGGACUGGUUUGCCUGAAUUUCUGUUGUCAGGGAGAUAAUAACCUGACAUUCAGAUCCUGCAAUAGAUGGAACAUUUCAUCUGGUUAAUACGACCAUUUAUAGCACACCACGAUGUUUGUUUACCAUUUAACACUAAACCAGAUGGAUACAGUCUCGUCUGAAAUAGAAAUGUUGGUCUGACACUAAUACUGACUUGAUCCCCUGAUUCCAUCUAAAUGUCGCUGUCUGACUUUCAGUUCUUCCAGUACUCCGACGGUGCCGUUCUCUACUGCAGACCUGCUGUACAACCCAGAGGUGAGUCGGCCCGCCCCUACGGCUGAUGACUUCUCCACCACCGAUCUAGUCUACUUCGACCGAGAGAAGGACAAGCUAAAGCUGCGGGACAUCGACGCCAACAGGAGGCCCACCAGCCGGAACAACUCGAGAAGAUCCAUAUCACUGGAAAAAGUUAAUUUUGAAGGGGAAAAAGAUGAGUUGCGGCCUAUUAAGAACACAUUCCCUACAGCUAAAGGGCAGAACCCUGGUAGGACCAACGGGGUCCGUGGAACACUGCUGAGAAGUGAUCAGUUACUGAAUCACAAAAACAAUGUACAAGGACGGGAGCCUGAUGACCUUGUAGCUAUGGGCACAAUAUGGAGUCCCAACUUACAACAACAACUCCACAACAACCUCCACAACGACCAGUUCCAAGUCUUUCUCUCUUACUUCCACGUCUAACACAUCCAAUGUGAAUCCCCGGAAAGGCCCAAGUGCUACCACCACACGUGUUGGAUUCCCAAACAAUUUCUCCACAUCUAGAUCUACUGCCAAAGAUAGUGAACCAAAGUAUACAGACCCAGUUUCAGGAGCAUCACCUUCAUUCCAACAAAGACUAAUGGAGUUGUCUGCCCUUGAGGCUGAAACCGUACGAUGGGAAAGAACUAAAAAAAUUAAGAAAAAGUCCAAACAAGACCGUGAUUCUUGAUGAUGUUUAUAAGUGUAGAUAUUGUUGAGAGUGCCAAGAUGGUAGCAGGAUGCAAUAAGGUGUGCCCUCAACCUGCUCCACGGCCCAUACCAAUGGAAGGAGGACGCUCUGUGUGGUCUGUAGGACAGGACUUGGGAGACUUGGUGUCAGUGCUCAGCGUGGAGCAUCCAGACUGACCUUCUUCUCUCUGGACACGGUGUAGUCAUGAUCCGUGAUACAUACAUACAGUAUUUGACAGGCCAUGAGGUCAACAGACCUCAUUCAUGCUUGUCUUAGUGUCUGAGCUGCUCACUCGUAUAUUUUUUCACAAUUUAGAUUCCGUAAUACCCAAUUGGGGGAAGAUAGUUGAAACCUGUUACAUAAUAUUUUUCAAAUAUUUACUCCAAGUGUUACGUGAUCAAGGUUUACAGUGUGUUGCUAAAAGCUCCCACCAUGACUUGCACAUCAGAAAGAUCUCGCAUACUUACAGUGUAUGAAGUAAGCCAAAAACCCUGCCAGACAUCAGGGAUGGUAACUUCAAAAUGUUACCAGCCCAAAAUGGAUUAACCAGAUCAGACACCAAGAUAUGUAUGGAACAUCUAACAGUUUUUCCAGACCAUCGGGCUGGCUAACUGUUAAUCUAGACUGUCCUUCAGAAAUCUAGCCCGUCUUGGGCGGUCGGACGGGCCUUAUGAAGGCUUUUACAUAUUUCAAAUGUGAGACUUAAGAAUUUGGAAUAAUGCCUAAAAUGUAGAAAAUUAUCUGAAAGGAGAAUCUUAUCAAUUGAUAUAUAUUUCCACUUGACAUAUGAGCAUUCUGUUUGGGCAACUGUAGGCCAUAUUAUUGUUUCCAUUUCAAAAAUAUUUUUAUAUUAUCCAUUAUUUUUCUGGAACAUGUCAAAAAGACACCCCAGCACGUGAAGUAUCAAAUGUUUGAUCCCAUUGUAUGAAUGAAAACAAAAGGUGACGUUGUAUUUACCAUUGCAAGUUAAAUUGCUUCAGUUCAGGUAUCGGAUCAUACCUUACUAUUGAAGUAUACAUCACUGCAACCAGGCAACUAGCGAAUAAUACCAAGAUCUUUGCAUUUGAAACAUUUCCAGCAUUUAGCUGGAGUCCAAUCAGAUAUAUAUGUACAGAAGUCGAGGGUCCCACGGAUACUACUUCCAUGACGUAUAUUCGUGUUAUCUGCAGAUGAUGAAGAACUUGAGAAAGGCAUUCAAAUGAAUGAAUAUUCCUGUGUGGGAAAUGUGAGCAGUUCAGCUCACCAUUAAAUAUAUAUAUAUAUUUGUACAGUUGACAUUCUGGGGUUCUUGGCUACCAGAGUGGGAUUUCCCGUUAGAAGUCAUGGACCCUCACAUUGAGUGUGCCUGUACAGUCAAGGGGAGAUAAUUAAGGAAAGUUGCUGUUUGAGAACUGAACUAGCAAUAGCAGAAACAAAUGAAAUCAGUCACUGAGAACAGACUGGCAUUGACAGUUACACUGUUAUAGCCUGUUUGUAAUGGAAUCAAAGAUAUUUUUGUGAACAAAUCUUGUUAUUUUCAUCAGUGUUACAGUAUUAAUAGAGGACAGAUGUUCCCUGUCUUAUUCAUGUUUCAUCGAAACUGGCAUUAAAUGUGUGUCUGUUUGAAAUGUAUGUUUAUGUAGUGUUUGAGAUUAUACUGUAUUCAUGGAAAACUUAAGUUUUAUGACAACUGUAAGUAAGUUUGUGUCAAAUAUUUUUUAAUUUUGACUUAGGGGUAUGCAUAAGUUAAAAAGGUAAGUUGUAGUCUUUGUUUUGUUAUGUUUGAACUUUAUAGCAAUUAAACACCAAAAUACAAGGAUAGAAGAGACUUCAUAUUUGCACCAACUAGCUCACAUAAUCAUUUGUUGUCGUUUUAGAUACUAUAUAACAUGCCAGCAAUACAGUGCUCACCCUAAAACAAGUUCAUAAUAUGUGUGGAAAGUGAAACAGUAUUUUUGUAUCUUAACCCUGAAGCAUGAGAGAGUGAACAUGUCAAUUUGUUUCUGUGAUAUUUGUCCAGUUUAUUUUUUUGGAACAAAUUUUUAAUUUGAAUUACUAGUUAGAAUAUCUGUUGUUUACAUGCAAACUCAUAUCAUAUUACGUUGAAAAGAUAAUAAAUGUAUGGAAGUACA
RNAcentral lists this long non-coding RNA (3099 nucleotides) under Haliotis rubra (blacklip abalone). Its description in RNAcentral is "uncharacterized LOC124274627". Lineage: Eukaryota; Metazoa; Mollusca; Gastropoda; Lepetellida; Haliotidae. The record is from RNAcentral.